Molecule: ribosomal RNA, 233 nt
Filed under: uncultured bacterium
Lineage: Bacteria
Description: partial 16S ribosomal RNA
Rfam family: Bacterial small subunit ribosomal RNA
Source: RNAcentral
GCGAGGCGGAGCAAAUCUCAAAACCGGUACCCAGUUCGGACUGCAGGCUGCAACCCGCCUGCACGAAGCCGGAGUUGCUAGUAAUCGCGAAUCAGAAUGUCGCGGUGAAUGCGUUCCCGGGUCUUGUACACACCGCCCGUCACACCAUGGAAGUUGGGGGUGCCCAAAGCCGGCAAGCAAAUAUGCUGUCUAAGGCAAAACCAAUGACUGGGGUGAAGUCGUAACAAGGUACC